UCCGAGUUGACCCCGGCAGUCUCCCAUGAGUCCCCAGCCACCCGAAGGCGCUGCUGGCAACAUGGAACGAGGGUUGCGCUCGUUGCGGGACUUAACCCAACAUCUCACGACACGAGCUGACGACAGCCAUGCACCACCUGUCAGGGGCCCUUACGGACACUGCAUCUCUGCAGCUUUUCCCCUGAUGUCAAACCCAGGUAAGGUUCUUCGCGUUGCCUCGAAUUAAGCCACAUGCUCCGCCGCUUGUGCGGGUCCCCGUCAAUUCCUUUGAGUUUUAGCCUUGCGGCCGUACUCCCCAGGCGGGGUGCUUAAUGCGUUAGCUACGGCACGGAACCCGUGGAAUGGAUCCCACACCUAGCGCCCAACGUUUACAGCAUGGACUAC
This 384-nucleotide unclassified non-coding RNA is filed under the name uncultured Actinomycetes bacterium. RNAcentral's name for it is "uncultured actinobacterium contains 16S-23S intergenic spacer region". Lineage: Bacteria; Bacillati; Actinomycetota; Actinomycetes. The record is from RNAcentral.